Molecule: ribosomal RNA, 282 nt
Filed under: uncultured bacterium
Lineage: Bacteria
Description: partial 16S ribosomal RNA
Rfam family: Bacterial small subunit ribosomal RNA
Source: RNAcentral
GACGAACGCUGGCGGUGUGCCUCACACAUGCAAGUCGAGCGGAUUUACUUAGUAGCUUGCUAUUAAGUAAGUUAGCGGCGGACGGGUGAGUAAUGCGUAGGAAUCUACCCUAAGGUAGGGGAUAACGGGCUGAAGGUCCGCUAAUACCCAUAUGCGGGUUCGUCUUCGGAGGAUUCGUGAAAGGAGCAAUUCGGCCUUUGGAUGAGCCUGCGUCUGAUUAGCUAGUUGGUAGGGAAAGACCUACCAAGGCUACGAUCGGUAGUUGGUCUGAGAGGAUGAUCA